AAGUCGUAACAAGGUUUCCGUAGGUGAACCUGCGGAAGGAUCAUUAUCGUACAAAAUGUGUGAGGCAUGCAAGGGCUGUCGCUGACUUUUUAUAGUCGUGCACGCCAGAGCCAUGUCCUCUCACAUAAAAUCCAUCUCACCCUUUUGUGCACCACCGCGUGGGCGCCCUUCGGGAUCGAUUCGAUCCAGGAAGGGGGCUUGCGUUUUCACACAAACCCCUUUUUAAAAAAAGUGUAGAAUGACCUCAUUUUUGCAAUAAAACGCAAUCAAUACAACUUUCAACAACGGAUCUCUUGGCUCUC
This 302-nucleotide unclassified non-coding RNA is filed under the name Lactarius cinereus. Its description in RNAcentral is "partial internal transcribed spacer region". The stretch from base 1 to 46 matches the Rfam family "Eukaryotic small subunit ribosomal RNA", at positions 1786 to 1831 of the family's 1831-position model. Lineage: Eukaryota; Fungi; Basidiomycota; Agaricomycetes; Russulales; Russulaceae. The record is from RNAcentral.